Long non-coding RNA from Eriocheir sinensis (Chinese mitten crab), 398 nucleotides. RefSeq lists it as uncharacterized. The transcript is spliced from 3 exons. The record is from RefSeq and is a predicted model, not a curated record. Lineage: Eukaryota; Metazoa; Arthropoda; Malacostraca; Decapoda; Varunidae.
AAGGUUACUCCCUUGUUCGUUAUAGCCUUCAUCUUAUUAUAUUAAAGGUUACUCCCUUGUUCGUUAUAGCCUUCAUCUUAUUAUAUUAAAGGUUACUCCCUUGUUCGUUAUAGCCUUCAUCUUAUUAUAUUAAAGGUUACUCUCUUGUUCGUUAUAGCCUUCAUCUUAUUAUAUUAAAGGUUACUCCCUUGUUCGUUAUAGCCUUCAUCUUAUUAUAUUAAAGGUUACUCUCUUGUUCGUUAUAGCCUUCAUCUUAUUAUAUUAAAGGUUACUCUCUUGUUCGUUAUAGCCUUCAUCUUAUUAUAUCAAAGGUUACUCCCUUGUUCGUUAUAGCCUUCAUCUUAUUAUAUCAAAGGUUACUCCCUUGUUCGUUAUAGCCUUCAUCUUAUUAUAUUAAA